Molecule: ribosomal RNA, 253 nt
Filed under: uncultured bacterium
Lineage: Bacteria
Description: partial 16S ribosomal RNA
Rfam family: Bacterial small subunit ribosomal RNA
Source: RNAcentral
UACGGGGGGGGUAAGCGUUGUUCGGAAUUACUGGGCGUAAAGGGCUCGUAGGCGGCCAACUAAGUCAUACGUGAAAUCCCUCAGCUUAACUGGGGAACUGCGUCUGAUACUGGAUGGCUUGAGUUUGGGAGAGGGACGCGGAAUUCCUGGUGUAGCGGUGAAAUGCGCAGAUAUCAGGAGGAACACCGGUGGCGAAGGCGGGUCUCUGGGCCGAUACUGACGCUGAGGAGCGAAAGCGUGGGGAGCGAACAGG